RNAcentral lists this ribosomal RNA (431 nucleotides) under uncultured Elusimicrobium sp. Its description in RNAcentral is "bacterial SSU rRNA". It matches the Rfam family "Bacterial small subunit ribosomal RNA", at positions 958 to 1385 of the family's 1533-position model. Lineage: Bacteria; Pseudomonadati; Elusimicrobiota; Elusimicrobia; Elusimicrobiales; Elusimicrobiaceae. The record is from RNAcentral.
AACGCGAAGAACCUUACCUGGGCUUGAACUACGGAUGGUAAGCUGUUGGAAACAGUGGCUGACCCGCAAGGGAGUCCGCAGAGGUGCUGCAUGGUUGUCGUCAGCUCGUGUCGUGAGAUGUUGGGUUAAGUCCCGCAACGAGCGCAACCCCCAUUCGAUGUUGCUAAUCCCGCAAGGGAUGCACUCUUCGAAAACUGCCUUCGAUAAGAAGGAGGAAGGUGGGGAUGACGUCAAAUCCUCAUGGCCCUUAUGUCCAGGGCUACACACGUGUUACAAUGGCCGGUACAGAGGGAAGCAAUACCGCAAGGUGGAGCCAAACCCACAAAGCCGGCCCCAGUUCAGAUUGUGGGCUGCAACUCGCCCACAUGAAGGCGGAAUCGCUAGUAAUCGCUGAUCAGCAGGCAGCGGUGAAUACGUUCCCGGGCCUUGUA